UUGAUCCUGCCGGACCUUACUGCUAUCGGGGUGGGACUUAGACAUGCGAGUUGAACGUUUCACAGCCAUGAGUGAAACGUAGCAUACGGCUCAGUAACACGUGGCUAACCCACCCUCGGGACAGGGACAACCCCGGGAAACUGGGGCUAAUCCCCGAUAGGCGAAGGCUCCUGGAACGGGUCUUCACCCAAAAGGUGCUAGAAUCAUGCUUUCUAGCCUCGCCCGAGGACGGGGCCGCGUCCGAUCAGGUAGUUGGUGAGGCAACGGCUCACCAAGCCUAUAACCGGUACGGGCCGUGGGAGCGGGAGCCCGGAGAUGGGCACUGAGACAAGGGCCCAGGCCCUACGGGGCGCAGCAGUUACGAAAACUUGUCAAUGCACGAAAGUGUGAACGGGCUACCCCGAGUGCCGUCCGCUGAGGAUGGCUUUUCUCUGCUGUAAGAAGGCGGAGGAAUAAGGAGAGGGCAAGUCUGGUGUCAGCCGCCGCGGUAAUACCAGCUCUCCGAGUGGUAAGGAUGAUUAUUGGGCUUAAAGCGUCCGUAGCUGGCCUUCCAAGUCUCUCGUUAAAUCCAGCGAUUCAAUCGUUGGACUGCGGGAGAUACUGUCAGGCUAGAGAACGGGAGAGGUCGACGGUACUCUCAGGGUAGGAGUGAAAUCCUAUAAUCCUGGGAGGACCACCAGUGGCGUAGGCUGUCGGCUAGAACGUGUCUGACGGUGAGGGACGAAAGCUUGGGGAGCGAACCGGAUUAGAUACCCGGGUAGUCCAAGCUGUAAACUAUGCGGGCUAGGUGUUGACGUGGCUACGUGCCACUUCAGUGCCGCAGGGAAGCCGUUAAGCCCGCCGCCUGGGGAGUACGGUCGCAAGGCUGAAACUUAAAGGAAUUGGCGGGGGAGCACCACAAGGGGUGAAGCUUGCGGUUUAAUUGGAUUCAACGCCGG
RNAcentral lists this ribosomal RNA (938 nucleotides) under uncultured archaeon. Its description in RNAcentral is "bacterial SSU rRNA". It matches the Rfam family "Archaeal small subunit ribosomal RNA", at positions 8 to 921 of the family's 1478-position model. The record is from RNAcentral.